RNAcentral lists this ribosomal RNA (395 nucleotides) under uncultured bacterium. Its description in RNAcentral is "bacterial SSU rRNA". It matches the Rfam family "Bacterial small subunit ribosomal RNA", at positions 29 to 419 of the family's 1533-position model. The record is from RNAcentral.
AGUGAACGCUGGCGGCAGGCCUAAUACAUGCAAGUCGAACGGCAGCACAGCAGAGCUUGCUCUGUGGGUGGCGAGUGGCGGACGGGUGAGGAAUACGUGGGAAUCUGCCCAGUCGUGGGGGAUAACGUAGGGAAACUUACGCUAAUACCGCAUGCGCCCUUCGGGGGAAAGCCGGGGACCUUCGGGCCUGGCGCGAUUGGAUGAGCCCACGUCGGAUUAGCUAGUUGGCGGGGUAAAGGCCCACCAAGGCGACGAUCCGUAGCUGGUCUGAGAGGAUGAUCAGCCACACUGGAACUGAGACACGGUCCAGACUCCUACGGGAGGCAGCAGUAGGGAAUAUUGGACAAUGGGCGCAAGCCUGAUCCAGCCAUGCCGCGUGUAUGAAGAAGGCCUUC